GCCCAGGUGAUGGAACUGGCAUACAUGUACGGUUCAGGGCCGUAUGGGAGCAAUCCCGUGGGAGUUCAAAUCUCCCCCUGGGCA
RNAcentral lists this transfer RNA (84 nucleotides) under Candidatus Tayloriibacteriota bacterium. RNAcentral describes it as "tRNA-Leu". Lineage: Bacteria; Candidatus Tayloriibacteriota. The record is from RNAcentral.